AUUGAACGCUGGCGGAAUGCUCUACACAUGCAAGUCGAACGGCAGCACGGACUUCGGUCUGGUGGCGAGUGGCGAACGGGUGAGUAAUGUAUCGGAACGUGCCCAGUCGUGGGGGAUAACGUAGUGAAAAUUACGCUAAUACCGCAUACGAUCUAUGGAGGAAAGCGGGGGAUCGCAAGACCUCGCCCGAUUGGAGCGGCCGAUAUCAGAUUAGGUAGUGGGUGGGGUAAAGGCCCACCAAGCCAACGAUCUGUAGCUGGUCUGAGAGGACGACCAGCCACACUGGAACUGAGACACGGUCCAGACUCCUACGGGAGGCAGCAGUGGGGAAUUUUGGACAAUGGGCGAAAGCCUGAUCCAGCCAUUCCGCGUGCAGGAUGAAGGCCCUCGGGUUGUAAACUGCUUUUGUACAGAACGAAAAGGUUUCUACUAAUACUAGGAGCUCAUGACGGUACUGUAAGAAUAAGCACCGGCUAACUACGUGCCAGCAGCCGCCGUAA
This 500-nucleotide ribosomal RNA is filed under the name uncultured bacterium. RNAcentral's name for it is "partial 16S ribosomal RNA". It matches the Rfam family "Bacterial small subunit ribosomal RNA", at positions 30 to 523 of the family's 1533-position model. The record is from RNAcentral.